ACAAGCAGCGGAGCGUGUGGUUAAUUCGAUGCUACACGAAGAACCUUACCAGGGUUUGACAUGCAAGUGGUAGGAAUCCGAAAGGUGACCGACCCUUCGGGGAGCUUGCACAGGUGCUGCAUGGCUGUCGUCAGCCCGUGUCGUGAGAUGUUCGGUUAAGUCCGCUAACGAGCGCAACCCUCGUCGUGUGUUAUACGUGUCACACGAUACUGCCGGUAUCAAGCCGGAGGAAGGUGGGGAUGAUGUCAAGUCAGCAUGGCCUUUAUAUCCUGGGCUACACACACGCUACAAUGGCAGAUACAAUAGGUUGCGAAACCGCGAGGUGGAGCCAAUCCUCAAAGUCUGUCUCAGUUCAGAUUGUAGGCUGCAACUCGCCUGCAUGAAGUUGGAGUUGCUAGUAAACGCAGGUCAGCUAUACUGCGUUGAAUACGUUCCCGGGGUUU
RNAcentral lists this ribosomal RNA (443 nucleotides) under uncultured Leptolinea sp. Its description in RNAcentral is "bacterial SSU rRNA". It matches the Rfam family "Bacterial small subunit ribosomal RNA", at positions 925 to 1382 of the family's 1533-position model. The record is from RNAcentral. Lineage: Bacteria; Bacillati; Chloroflexota; Anaerolineae; Anaerolineales; Anaerolineaceae.